RNAcentral lists this small RNA (27 nucleotides) under Bombyx mori (domestic silkworm). RNAcentral describes it as "ovarian small RNA-14537". The record is from RNAcentral. Lineage: Eukaryota; Metazoa; Arthropoda; Insecta; Lepidoptera; Bombycidae.
CGUAGACCGAGCUUAUGACCUGGCGCC